UGAAACGCAUGUGCAUGCCUUACACAUGCAAGUCGAACGGCAGCAUGAUCUAGCUUGCUAGAUUGAUGGCGAGUGGCGAACGGGUGAGUAAUACAUCGGAACGUGCCCUGUAGUGGGGGAUAACUAGUCGAAAGAUUAGCUAAUACCGCAUACGACCUGAGGGUGAAAGUGGGGGACCGCAAGGCCUCAUGCUAUAGGAGCGGCCGAUGUCUGAUUAGCUAGUUGGUGGGGUAAAGGCCCACCAAGGCGACGAUCAGUAGCUGGUCUGAGAGGACGAUCAGCCACACUGGGACUGAGACACGGCCCAGACUCCUACGGGAGGCAGCAGUGGGGAAUUUUGGACAAUGGGCGAAAGCCUGAUCCAGCAAUGCCGCGUGUGUGAAGAAGGCCUUCGGGUUGUAAAGCACUUUUGUCCGGAAAGAAAUGGCUCUGGUUAAUACCUGGGGUCGAUGACGGUACCGGAAGAAUAAGGACCGGCUAACUACGUGCCAGCAGCCGCGGUAAUACGUAGGGUCCAAGCGUUAAUCGGAAUUACUGGGCGUAAAGCGUGCGCAGGCGGUUGUGCAAGACCGAUGUGAAAUCCCCGAGCUUAACUUGGGAAUUGCAUUGGUGACUGCGCGGCUAGAGUGUGUCAGAGGGGGGUAGAAUUCCACGUGUAGCAGUGAAAUGCGUAGAGAUGUGGAGGAAUACCGAUGGCGAAGGCAGCCCCCUGGGAUAACACUGACGCUCAUGCACGAAAGCGUGGGGAACAAACAGGAUUAGAUACCCUGUAGUCCACGCCCUAAACGAUGUCAACUAGUUGUUGGGGAUUCAUUUCCUUAGUAACGUACCUACGCGUGAGUUGACCGCCUGGGG
Molecule: ribosomal RNA, 855 nt
Filed under: uncultured bacterium
Lineage: Bacteria
Description: bacterial SSU rRNA
Rfam family: Bacterial small subunit ribosomal RNA
Source: RNAcentral